AGAGUUUGAUCAUGGCUCAGAGCGAACGCUGGCGGCAGGCCUAACACAUGCAAGUCGAGCGGCCGUAGCAAUACGGCAGCGGCAGACGGGAGAGUAACACGUGGGAACGCGCCCUUCGGUUCGGAAUAACUCAGGGAAACUUGGGCUAAUACCGGAUACGCCCUUACGGGGAAAGAUUUAUUGCCGAAGGAACGGCCCGCGUCCGAUUAGCUUGUUGGUGAGGUAACGGCUCACCAAGGCGACGAUCGGUAGCUGGUCUGAGAGGAUGGCCAGCCUCACUGGGACUGAGACACGGCCCAGACUCCUACGGGAGGCAGCAGUGGGGAAUAUUGGACAAUGGGCGCAAGCCUGAUCCAGCCAUGCCGCGUGGGUGAUGAAGGCCCUAGGGUUGUAAAGCCCUUUCAGCGGGGAAGAUAAUGACGGUACCCGCAGAAGAAGCCCCGGCUAACUUCGUGCCAGCAGCCGCGGUA
This 470-nucleotide ribosomal RNA is filed under the name uncultured Pseudomonadota bacterium. Its description in RNAcentral is "bacterial SSU rRNA". It matches the Rfam family "Bacterial small subunit ribosomal RNA", at positions 8 to 522 of the family's 1533-position model. Lineage: Bacteria; Pseudomonadati; Pseudomonadota. The record is from RNAcentral.